This 390-nucleotide ribosomal RNA is filed under the name uncultured bacterium. RNAcentral's name for it is "bacterial SSU rRNA". It matches the Rfam family "Bacterial small subunit ribosomal RNA", at positions 28 to 419 of the family's 1533-position model. The record is from RNAcentral.
GACGAACGCUGGCGGCGUGCUUAACACAUGCAAGUCGAGCGGUAAGGCCCUUUCGGGGGUACACGAGCGGCGAACGGGUGAGUAACACGUGGGUGACCUGCCCUCAGCUCUGGGAUAAGCCCGGGAAACUGGGUCUAAUACUGGAUAUGACUCCACGGUGCAUGCCGUGGGGUGGAAAGCCUUGUGCGGCUGAGGAUGGGCCCGCGGCCUAUCAGCUUGUUGGUGGGGUGAUGGCCUACCAAGGCGACGACGGGUAGCCGGCCUGAGAGGGCGACCGGCCACACUGGGACUGAGACACGGCCCAGACUCCUACGGGAGGCAGCAGUGGGGAAUCUUGCGCAAUGGGCGAAAGCCUGACGCAGCGACGCCGCGUGAGGGAUGACGGCCUGG